RNAcentral lists this ribosomal RNA (497 nucleotides) under uncultured bacterium. RNAcentral's name for it is "partial 16S ribosomal RNA". It matches the Rfam family "Bacterial small subunit ribosomal RNA", at positions 28 to 507 of the family's 1533-position model. The record is from RNAcentral.
GAUGAACGCUGGCGGCGUGCCUAAUACAUGCAAGUCGAGCGAACGGACGAGAAGCUUGCUUCUCUGAUGUUAGCGGCGGACGGGUGAGUAACACGUGGAUAACCUACCUAUAAGACUGGGAUAACUUCGGGAAACCGUAGCUAAUACCGGAUAAUAUUUUGAACCGCAAGGUUCAAAAGUGAAAGACGGUCUUGCUGUCACUUAUCGAUGGAUCCGCGCUGCAUUAGCUAGUUGGUAAGGUAACGGCUUACCAAGGCAACGAUGCAUAGCCGACCUGAGAGGGUGAUCGGCCACACUGGAACUGAGACACGGUCCAGACUCCUACGGGAGGCAGCAGUAGGGAAUCUUCCGCAAUGGGCGAAAGCCUGACGGAGCAACGCCGCGUGAGUGAUGAAGGUCUUCGGAUCGUAAAACUCUGUUAUUAGUGAAGAACAUAUGUGUAAGUAACUGUGCACAUCUUGACGGUACCUAAUCAGAAAGCCACGGCUAACUACGUG